RNAcentral lists this ribosomal RNA (433 nucleotides) under uncultured bacterium. Its description in RNAcentral is "partial 16S ribosomal RNA". It matches the Rfam family "Bacterial small subunit ribosomal RNA", at positions 29 to 507 of the family's 1533-position model. The record is from RNAcentral.
AACGAACGCUGGCGGCAUGCCUAACACAUGCAAGUCGAGCGAGACCUUCGGGUCUAGUGGCGCACGGGGGCGUAACGUGUGGGAACCUGCCGUAAGGUUCGGAAUAACUCCCCGAAAGGGGGGCUAACACCGGAUAAUGUCCGCGGACCCAAGAUUUCUCGCCUUUGGAUGGGCCCGCGUUGGUUUAGCUAGUUGGUAGGGUAAAAGCCUACCUAGGCGACGAUCCAUAGCGGGUCUGAGAGGAUGAUCAGCCACACUGGGACGGAGACACGGCCCAGACUCCUACGGGAGGCAGCAGUGGGGAAUAUUGGACAAUGGGCGAAAGCCUGAUCCAGCAAUGCCGCGUGAGUGAUGAAGGCCUUAGGGUUGUAAAGCUCUUUUACCCGGGAUGAUAAUGACAGUACCGGGAGAAUAAGCUCCGGCUAACUCCGUG